RNAcentral lists this ribosomal RNA (497 nucleotides) under uncultured bacterium. Its description in RNAcentral is "partial 16S ribosomal RNA". It matches the Rfam family "Bacterial small subunit ribosomal RNA", at positions 28 to 507 of the family's 1533-position model. The record is from RNAcentral.
GAUGAACGCUGGCGGCGUGCCUAAUACAUGCCAGUCGAGCGAACAGACGAGGAGCUUGCUCCUCUGACGUUAGCGGCGGACGGGUGAGUAACACAUGGAUAACCUACCUAUAAGACUGGGAUAACUUCGGGAAACCGGAGCUAAUACCGGAUAAUAUAUUGAACCGCAUGGUUCAAUAGUGAAAGACGGUUUUGCUGUCACUUAUAGAUGGAUCCGCGCCGCAUUAGCUAGUUGGUAAGGUAACGGCUUACCAAGGCAACGAUGCGUAGCCGACCUGAGAGGGUGAUCGGCCACACUGGAACUGAGACACGGUCCAGACUCCUACGGGAGGCAGCAGUAGGGAAUCUUCCGCAAUCGGCGAAAGCCUGACGGAGCAACGCCGCGUGAGUGAUGAAGGUCUUCGGGUCGUAAAACUCUGUUAUUAGGGAAGAACAAAUGUGUAAGUAACUAUGCACGUCUUGACGGUACCUAAUCAGAAAGCCACGGCUAACUACGUG